RNAcentral lists this ribosomal RNA (89 nucleotides) under Natranaerovirga pectinivora. RNAcentral's name for it is "partial 16S ribosomal RNA". It matches the Rfam family "Bacterial small subunit ribosomal RNA", at positions 1447 to 1533 of the family's 1533-position model. The record is from RNAcentral. Lineage: Bacteria; Bacillati; Bacillota; Clostridia; Lachnospirales; Natranaerovirgaceae.
AGAGAGCCGUCGAAGGUGAAGUCGAUGACUGGGGUGAAGUCGUAACAAGGUAGCCGUAUCGGAAGGUGCGGCUGGAUCACCUCCUUUCU